GAUGAACGCUGGCGGCGUGCCUAAUACAUGCAAGUCGAGCGAACAGACCAGGCGCUUGCUCCUCUGACGUUAGCGGCGGACGGGUGAGUAACACGUGUAUAACCUACCUAUAAGACUGGGAUAACUUCGGGAAACCGGCGCUAAUACCGGAUAAUAUAUUGAACCGCAUGGUUCAAUAGUGAAAGACGGUUUUGCUGUCACUUAUAGAUGGAUCCGCGCCGCAUUAGCUAGUUGGUAAGGUAACGGCUUACCACGGCAACGAGGCGUAGACGACCUGAGAGGGUGAUAGGCCACACUGGAACGGAGACACGGUCCAGACUCCUACGGGAGGCAGCAGUAGGGAAUCUUCCGCAAUGGGCGAAAGCCUGACGGAGCAACGCCGCGUGAGUGAUGAAGGUCUUCGGAUCGUAAAACUCUGUUAUUAGGGAAGAACAAAUGUGUAAGUAACUAUGCACGUCUUGACGGUACCUAAUCAGAAAGCCACGGCUAACUACGUG
RNAcentral lists this ribosomal RNA (497 nucleotides) under uncultured bacterium. RNAcentral's name for it is "partial 16S ribosomal RNA". It matches the Rfam family "Bacterial small subunit ribosomal RNA", at positions 28 to 507 of the family's 1533-position model. The record is from RNAcentral.